GGACACACUGAGGAUUGACAGGUAUUAUAUAGCGCGCUUGCGCGUCUAUUGUUAAAUAUGCUAGUCCUUUCAUGAUUAUGUGAUAGGUGGUGCAUGGCCGUUCUUAGUUCGUGGAGUGAUCUGUCUGCUUAAUUGCGUUUCAGAUAAGGAUCUAUAUUCUUUACAGAAGUGUUGCGUUGUGCGCAUUUGACCCCUCGUUCGCGAGUGCGUGUCUUUUCGCGCUCGCACGCUUUUUACAUUAGGUCCUGAAAGCAACGAACGUGACCGCAACCUCUUGUUGCCUCAUCUCCCUACUUUUUUAGCACUUCGGUGUUGAAUAAUUUCAUUGAGGCUUUCCAAAACUAGAGGGACCGCUGUCAACUUCUUAAACCAGAGGAAGGUUGCGGCAAUAACAGGUCUGUGAUGCCCUUAGAUGUUCCGGGCUGCACACGUGCUACAAUGAUUGUUGCAGUGAGCAUCUCAAUUUUUUACC
Molecule: ribosomal RNA, 472 nt
Filed under: Globigerinita glutinata
Lineage: Eukaryota; Foraminifera; Rotaliida; Globigerinitidae
Description: SSU rRNA
Rfam family: Eukaryotic small subunit ribosomal RNA
Source: RNAcentral